UACGGAGGGAGAUGGACUGAGACCAGUAAAGGGGCGGACCGCAACAAGCCUUUCCUCCGGUCAAGUUAACUGCCUAGGAUAUUUUACCGUGGUGAUAGAAAGCUGGCUAAUACCACAGGGAAGAAGAUACUGUCACACUUCCACAGUGGUUUGAGACUUCUGGGGCAAGCCAUACAGAAAGUCCUGGAAAAUCUUUCCUAUGCAAUGCACACUAAGAAUGGGAAAGGCACAAAGGAAGACAAGUAUGUG
RNAcentral lists this long non-coding RNA (249 nucleotides) under Rattus norvegicus (Norway rat). RNAcentral's name for it is "long non-coding RNA NONRATT011717". The record is from RNAcentral. Lineage: Eukaryota; Metazoa; Chordata; Mammalia; Rodentia; Muridae.